This 252-nucleotide ribosomal RNA is filed under the name uncultured bacterium. RNAcentral describes it as "partial 16S ribosomal RNA". It matches the Rfam family "Bacterial small subunit ribosomal RNA", at positions 524 to 776 of the family's 1533-position model. The record is from RNAcentral.
UACGUAGGGGGCAAGCGUUGUCCGGAAUUACUGGGUGUAAAGGGAGCGUAGGCGGGAAAGCAAGUUGAAUGUUUAAGGUACGGGCUCAACCUGUACAAGCGUUCAAAACUGUUUUUCUUGAGUGGAGUAGAGGUAAGCGGAAUUCCUAGUGUAGCGGUGAAAUGCGUAAAUAUUAGGAGGAACACCAGUGGCGAAGGCGGCUUACUGGGCUUUAACUGACGCUGAGGCUCGAAAGCGUGGGUAGCAAACAGG